AGCUCCAAUAGCGUAUAUUAAAGUUGUUGCGGUUAAAAAGCUCGUAGUUGGAUUUCUGUCGGGGGCGGCCGGUCCGCACUAUGUGCGUGUAUCUGGUGUGCUCUUGGCAUCCUCUUGGGGAACGUUGCUGAGCUUUGUUGCACAGGGCGGGAUUCAAGACUUUUACUUGAGGAAAUUAGAGUGUUCACGGCAAGCUAUCGCUUUGAAUACAUUAGCAUGGAAUAAUGAUAUAGGGCGUGAGUUCUAUUUUGUUGGUUUCUAGGAUUUGCGCAAUGAUUAAUAGGGAUAAUUGGGGGCAUUCGUAUUAACGCGUCAGAGGUGGAAUUCUUGGAUUGCGUUACGACGAACUACUGCGAAAGCAUUUGCCAAGGAUGUUUUCA
Molecule: ribosomal RNA, 380 nt
Filed under: uncultured eukaryote
Lineage: Eukaryota
Description: SSU rRNA
Rfam family: Eukaryotic small subunit ribosomal RNA
Source: RNAcentral